Molecule: long non-coding RNA, 239 nt
Filed under: Mytilus galloprovincialis (Mediterranean mussel)
Lineage: Eukaryota; Metazoa; Mollusca; Bivalvia; Mytilida; Mytilidae
Source: RNAcentral
GGUGUCAGUAUAUAGGCAAUAUCAAAAGCUGUACUUAUGUAAUAAUCCUAUAAAUGUAAACUGUAUAACAAGAAAAUAACUGUUUGACUUAUUUAGAAUAAUUCAAAAACUGAAUAAAAUUAUACUAAAAGUAUCUUUAUCUUAUCUAUCUAAGAUCAUGAAACUACUAAAUAAUUAUUUGCAGAAUGCAUGAAAGGCAGGGUAUAUAUGAAGACAGCAAGUAAAAAUAAUAUAAAAAA